Cydia strobilella is the source of this 2415-nucleotide long non-coding RNA. RefSeq lists it as uncharacterized. The transcript has 2 exons. NCBI's taxonomy places the organism in Eukaryota, Metazoa, Arthropoda, Insecta, Lepidoptera, Tortricidae. The record is from RefSeq and is a predicted model, not a curated record.
CCCGGCACCGAGCGCUCCGUGCAGCAGGCGCUGGAGACCGUGCGACUCAACGCGGCCUGGCUGCGCCGCGACCUCGCCUCCACCACCACCUACCUGCAGUCCUACCACUGACGGACCAAAUGACACAAGACUGAAACUACAACGAAGUCCAGUUAACGUUUCAAUAGAUCUUUAUUCACUUAGCUGAGCUGCUAGCAUUUUGAGUUAUUUAUUUUCCAGUGACAUUGUUAUAUGUUAACCGUGACAUUGAAAAAGAGUAUUUUAAAUGUUGUUAAUAUCGUAUUUUAAAGCUAAUAUAGCCGAAUUAAAUUAAACAGCAGUAACAGGUGGAGCAUAGGAACGAAGAAGUAUAUUUCAAUUUGUUGUUGUUUUUGUAAUACUUAUUCCUGCCUGUUCAUUUCAUUUAUUUCUAAAAACUAAGAGCACUUUCAAUCGCCAUGUAAAAUCUAAAAGCUUAGUCUAAAUAAAUAAUAAAAAUAUUGUAAUUUUAGCAGUCUAAACUAUUCUUACCUUUCACGCAAUAUACUGCAAAAAAGCUGGGAUAGAAAAUAAUAUAUGUAUUCACGAGUUUGAUAUAAACUUGAGUACAUUUUGAUUUACAUCGGGCUUACCUGUAUAAUAUAAUAAUAUUCCAACGAGAACCACUAGGUACACUGAAAACACAUACCUACGAGCCCCGAUGCAUAUGUUUUCGUCUAGUCAGACCAUUUUUUGAGGUUCUCGCGUUUGUACAAAAACCAUGUUUAAGUUUAAAAAUCACUAACAUUUAAUGCUAAUGUAGUUUAAUUUUAUAUGGUAAUAUUCUCCAAUAACUAAAUCCAAAUACAAUAAAUACCGUUUGUACUAAAAGAAAAAAAUUACGAUUUUUUAUUUUUUUAUUUGACGGCUAGGAAUAUAACAGAUGUGAAAAGGGCUAUUACUAGGGAAAGCAACACGGCUCUACCAGUGCUAGGAGAGGACAAAAUGAUUUGGAGAACGUUUUUGAAAAGUACAUUUUUUUAACAAUAAGAGUCAUGUAAUUUUAUUAUACGAUCAAAAUAAACUAUUUUUCUUCAUGUGCAAAAUAGUUGUUGGAGUUGGAAUAAACAAAAUUGUUGUGUGGAACUAGACGAACUAAUUUGCAUCGGGGCUCGUACAUGGCAGUCUGUUAUAAAAUAGUACAUUUCGAUGCUAGUGCGGAAAGUAUGUCAUUACUUCACGAGUACCGAAAUAUCGAGAGACUCGGGACGAGUGAAGAACGACACUUCCGCACGUGUAUCGAACGACGUUUUUUAAUACAGUUGCGAAAAAAUAAUAAAAACAACAAGUAAGGAAUAAAAACUUUGGAAACGUAAAACAUGCUUGCAGUAAGAAAAAACGCCUCUUCGUUGACAGGCGUUUCGGCAGCUAUUCCUACCUCUACCUUCCAUAGCUAUUCCGUUCCAUUCAGACAACUUAUUAAGAACGGUUUUUCAAUAUUCAAUAUUAAAAAAUAAACGUGUUAUAAUGAGAGGUAAGUAAUAAAAUAUGAAAUAUGUAUAUUUUUCGUAUUCUUACAUUAACAGUAGGUUUUUAUGUUGAUUACGAACGUUUAAAGGAAACAAUAUUAAUACUCAUCAAUAAGUAGUCAUGAAUUGGAACAAGUAUAAAUUUAAAAAAAUUGGAAAAGUAAAAUGCACUAGUUCGCGAAAACCAACUUUCCGCAAACUAAACAGCUACGUAUAGUAGCACUUUUUGAGCAACUGUAUUAAAAAGGUAUCUAACAUGUUAGUAAAAAAAAUCUUAUGCAUUUUGAUCUAUUGUGCUCGCUCAAAUUCGCAUGUACAUCAGUACAAUGAUGACACUAGUCACAUGCGCCUAACUAGAUUUCCGCAGCGGCAAAGGAGCUAAGACAAGAAUUAUCAUAAUUUAACAAAUACGGCCCGUUGUUAUAACACUUCAAUGCUCUACAAGUCUACAGUUUCAAUGGUCCACUGUUAUAGAAGCUAUACUUACAGGAUUUAACAUGUAUUAUAAUGUGUAAAAUAUUAUUUUAAUUUAUGUUUAGAUUAUGUUACGAGUUUUGUAAUAUUGGUGCUGAGAGCAUUAUUUUUGUUUUAUUUCUUUAUUCUGGGGAAAGUACAAUUUGUUUCUAACAUUAGUGUAAACUGUAUACUGACACAACAAACCUUAGUAGCGUAUUUAAUUUAAUUUACCAGUGUGCAAUAGUUUCUUACGUCCACCACACCACGUACCAGUCGACUUGCACACAUAUAUAAUUUUAAUUAUGUACCUACAUUUAGCAAAUUAAUCGUUUAGGGGCGUGCAAGUUCAGUCAAAAUUUUUGUGAUCUUAAAAUAAUGAAAUGAAGUUACCAUCGUUUAAUAGGGUCUUGUCGCUGUCAUUGCUGAAUUGUUUUGUAAGACUGUUAUCGCAAUAAAUGGUACAAGAACAUAA